RNAcentral lists this long non-coding RNA (635 nucleotides) under Gossypium raimondii (Peruvian cotton). RNAcentral's name for it is "long non-coding RNA (GRAI_LNC005902)". Lineage: Eukaryota; Viridiplantae; Streptophyta; Magnoliopsida; Malvales; Malvaceae. The record is from RNAcentral.
UAAAGAGGGCUGCAGGUCUCUGGCUUAUUGAUGAGUAAGUUCAAAUAUUGAUUUAGUUGGUUUGAAAUUUCAAUUGUUUAAGAUUAUAACAGCAAUUUAUCCAGAAUUUCAACUCAAAUUUCACUUCUGUGUUUAUGAGAUGAAUUUGAUGCAAUUUUGUUGUUUCCAUCCUACAGGGCUGACAAAGGCGAAGAGGAAGCUACACUGCUGGGGUUUUGCAGGAAACCUCCAUAUCCUUUUCAAGUUCCAAAAUUCAAGGAAAUAACGCUAGUGUGCAUUUUGGUCUACACAAGCACCCUCGGAAAUUGCGGGUUAGUGUGGACUUUGAUGGCCAAUCAUCCGGGAAGCUUUUGCAGCAUAACAUUGUUGCUCUUGGUGUUUAAUCUUCUGUGACAGAUUUUUAGGGCAUCCUCAACUGGCGGAUCAAAACAAAAUUAACCCAAGAUUUUAGUUAUAGAAACUCUCCAUGGAAUUACCCAAAGGACGGGAAAUUUGCAGAUUGUGAACCAGAUGAUCCACUCUUUAAUCUCAAUUCAAAGAAAUCACUCAAUAGGUUGGUAACAUAUACUCUGAUCAUACCAAUUAAUGACAUGAAACGUCAUUGGCUAAUAGCGAAACAUCAUUUGGAUUAGAGA